Molecule: long non-coding RNA, 1952 nt
Filed under: Musa acuminata (dwarf banana)
Lineage: Eukaryota; Viridiplantae; Streptophyta; Magnoliopsida; Zingiberales; Musaceae
Description: long non-coding RNA (MACU_LNC000191)
Source: RNAcentral
UUUAUCAGUACAUAUUCAUCACACAACCAUGAAGUUUGUUUUAGUUACUUGCUUACAUGAUUAGUCAUUUUUCUACAUCAUGCUCAUGUUUUAGGUUAAUCUUCAGCAACCUAAUAAUGUCUACAGAAGCUACAAGAACUUGUAUGAUUUAACCUUUUACUCAUGUAAUCUCCAUGACCAUUUUCCGAAUGAUUCUGUGCAACUCAACUUGUCUUGGCAACAGGAUAAUUGUUUAGCAGACCUUUUUUCAUGUAAGAAGCUUGGAAAUAUUGCAAUCACAUCGUGGUAUACUUGCAACCCAAGGCACCAAAAAAUGUAAGGACGUGCUUCUCUGAUCCCAAGGGUUGUUGAUUCAGUCAGCUUGAUAACUUAAUGCUUCACAACAUCGAAAAUGAUGUUAAAAAUAUCACAAUUGAUGCACUCCUCAUAGUUCAGAAUUUCCUUCAAUGUACUUCGCCUUUUCUAUUCUGUAUUUUAUGGCAUAUGCUAGGUUGAUUUUAGAUUGGAUGUAGCAUGAUAUGCCUUCUUCUGUAGAUACAAAUUAGAAAACUAGCAGAAGUUUCUUCUGAUUGGAAAAUUAAUGCUACUGCAGCAUUUUUAAGAAGUGACACACUAAAUUACUUUGUGAAAUUAUAUUAUUCUGACUAGAAGAAUUACUCUAUAUGAUUCUUUUAUACUUGAAAGAAUAUAUGCUUCUCAUAUGUACCAUAUGGAUUCUUCAAAAAUUCUCCAAUUAACUCUCUGAUUUCUUAGCUAAAAGAUCUCAAGUUUCUAGUCAGAAUAAUUUCACCAAGUAGGAUCCAUACAAUUUGCAUUCGCAAGCCUCCUGUGUUUUUUAUUAUUCCAGAAAGCAUCAAAUGAGUACACACAUGCAACAUCUGAAAACUCCUAAUACAUGUGGCAAUCUCUCCUGGUCAAGAUGCAUUGAAAGCAUUGAACCAUAUGAUGUUAAGAUUUAGAUCCUUGUUUUUAUAUAUACCUUACAAUUGUUUAUCACAGGAAAGGAAUGACAGAAUCAGCAGCUGCUGUUCUCGCCUCUAUUAUGUCAUGAUAUACCAACAAAAUAUACUGUUCUCAACUCUAUUAUGUCAGCAGCAGCAAAGUUGUUACAUAUGAGAUUUCUAUCAUAUUAUUGGCUGGUUCUAAGUAUGAGAAUUCAGAUCCUCAUGGGAGAUCCAUUAUCGAGAGGGAUCUACAUCCGUCAAAAUCACAGGUAUUUGAGACUGUCAUAUGAUUUUGAUGGGCACUGUUGAGAUUCAAUCAAAGACGUAAUGGAUGGUUUGGUUGCGUCGUAUACCUCCAUUACUCGAGGAGAUAACAAAAACUCAAAGUUAGAAGAUUGAAGAAAUAAAUGGAAGAUAGUUUGAAUUUUGUGCAUACUCAAGUUUAAGCUGUUUUAGAUUUAAUAGUAGGUGCAUAACACGUAGCUUGAUGAUUUUUCUCAAUAAAGUAUCAAUACAUGAUUGUUCCACCAUAAUACUUUGCUGUUCUGAUUAGUUUAUGGCAGUGACUUUUUGCAUCUGCCGAGUUUACUAGUGACAACAUGUAAGGAGUUUUAUAUCUGAACUUGAUAUGGUUGUCAUCUUGACAAGGAUGCAAUUUUGAUACCGUGUUUUACAUCUGAUGCACAUGACAUUUGGCUCUGAGCUGGUUUCAGGCUUUUAGAGCAACUGAUAUUUUUCGCCGCCGAAAGUUUGAUCAUGCUGUCCAUGUGUUUUCUCAUGCAUUUUCUUCUUUUCUAUUUUUUCUUUUGUGGUGUGACUGCAUUUGAUGCAAAGUCAUUGUUAACAUCAAAAUACUAUCCAACUUUUAGCAGAAGGAAUUAUGGAGAUGGUGUUUGUGCUGCGAAUAGCUUUUCUUUCUUUUUUUUCCCAUCGUUUUCUUUUUGAUGGUUCUCCUCGUCUCUUUCUUGAUGGGACUUGAGAUUCUUCUUGAAUCAUUAUUUGGUUGGU